This 433-nucleotide ribosomal RNA is filed under the name uncultured bacterium. RNAcentral describes it as "partial 16S ribosomal RNA". It matches the Rfam family "Bacterial small subunit ribosomal RNA", at positions 29 to 507 of the family's 1533-position model. The record is from RNAcentral.
AACGAACGCUGGCGGCAUGCCUAACACAUGCAAGUCGAACGAGACCUUCGGGUCUAGUGGCGCACGGGUGCGUAACGCGUGGGAACCUGCCCUUAGGUUCGGAAUAACUCCCCGAAAGGGGUGCUAAUACCGGAUAAUGUCUUCGGACCAAAGAUUUAUCGCCUUUGGAUGGGCCCGCGUUGGAUUAGCUAGUUGGUAGGGUAAAAGCCUACCAAGGCGACGAUCCAUAGCUGGUCUGAGAGGAUGAUCAGCCACACUGGGACUGAGACACGGCCCAGACUCCUACGGGAGGCAGCAGUGGGGAAUAUUGGACAAUGGGCGAAAGCCUGAUCCAGCAAUGCCGCGUGAGUGAUGAAGGCCUUAGGAUUGUAAAGCUCUUUUACCCGGGAUGAUAAUGACGGUACCGGGAGAAUAAGCUCCGGCUAACUCCGUG